UACAGAGGGUGCAAGCGUUAAUCGGAAUUACUGGGCGUAAAGCGUGCGUAGACGGUUAUUUAAGUCAGGUGUGAAAGCCCCGGGCUCAACCUGGGAAUUGCAUUUGAGACUGAAUAGCUAGGGUGCGGAAGAGGGAAGCGGAAUUUCCGGUGUAGCGGUGAAAUGCGUAGAUAUCGGAAGGAACACCGGUGGCGAAGGCGGCAUCCUGGACCGGUAUUGACGCUGAGGCGCGAAAGCCAGGGGAGCAAACGGG
RNAcentral lists this ribosomal RNA (253 nucleotides) under uncultured bacterium. RNAcentral's name for it is "partial 16S ribosomal RNA". It matches the Rfam family "Bacterial small subunit ribosomal RNA", at positions 524 to 776 of the family's 1533-position model. The record is from RNAcentral.